RNAcentral lists this ribosomal RNA (460 nucleotides) under uncultured bacterium. RNAcentral's name for it is "partial 16S ribosomal RNA". It matches the Rfam family "Bacterial small subunit ribosomal RNA", at positions 338 to 795 of the family's 1533-position model. The record is from RNAcentral.
CCUACGGGAGGCAGCAGUGAGGAAUAUUGGUCAAUGGACGAGAGUCUGAACCAGCCAAGUCGCGUGAAGGAUGACUGCCCUAUGGGUUGUAAACUUCUUUUAUAUGGGAAUAAAAUGUUCCACGUGUGGGAUUUUGUAUGUACCAUAUGAAUAAGGAUCGGCUAACUCCGUGCCAGCAGCCGCGGUAAUACGGAGGAUCCGAGCGUUAUCCGGAUUUAUUGGGUUUAAAGGGUGCGUAGGUGGAUUGUUAAGUCAGUUGUGAAAGUUUGCGGCUCAACCGUAAAAUUGCAGUUGAAACUGGCAGUCUUGAGUACAGUAGAGGUGGGCGGAAUGCGUGGUGUAGCGGUGAAAUGCUUAGAUAUCGCGAAGAACUCCGAUUGCGAAGGCAGUUCACUGGACUGCAACUGACACUGAGGCUCGAAAGUGUGGGUAUCAAACAGGAUUAGAUACCCUUGUAGUC